Molecule: ribosomal RNA, 535 nt
Filed under: uncultured eukaryote
Lineage: Eukaryota
Description: SSU rRNA
Rfam family: Eukaryotic small subunit ribosomal RNA
Source: RNAcentral
AGCUCCAAAAGCGUAUAUUAACGCUGUUGCUGUUAAAGGGUUCGUAGUUGAACUGAGGGCCGCCAAGAGGACCAUCCAGUCCCAUCCACUUCGGAUCGGUGACCAUGGCACUUGCGGCUCGUGAACAUCAGAAACAAAAAACACGGGAGCGGAUAUCCUUCCCGAUUCUCGCAUGCCAUGCAUGCCGGGGGGCGCCCGUGAUUUUUACUGUGACUAAAGAAGUGUGACCAAAGCAGUCAUUCGACAUGAAUUAGAAAGCAUGGGAUAACAAAGGAGCAACCUACCGGACUACCGUUUUGGCUUUUGUUGGUUUUAAAAGUUUGUGGGAGAUUAUGGGUCCGUGUGACAAGCGGUCGGGGGCCUUCGGGCACCCCACGCAUUCGUCGUCCUGUGGCUUCGGUUGCAGGCGGCGGCUCGCGGCGCCCAGGAAUGAAGGAGGGUUGUUCGGGGGAGAACGUACUUGAGCGUGAGAGGUGAAAUUCUUAGACCGCUCAAAGACGAACUACAGCGAAGGCAUUCUCCAAGGAUACCUUCC